Molecule: ribosomal RNA, 23 nt
Filed under: Terminalia chebula (chebulic myrobalan)
Lineage: Eukaryota; Viridiplantae; Streptophyta; Magnoliopsida; Myrtales; Combretaceae
Description: partial 28S ribosomal RNA
Source: RNAcentral
CCCGCUGAGUUUAAGCAUAUCAA